This 492-nucleotide long non-coding RNA is filed under the name Nicotiana tabacum (common tobacco). RNAcentral's name for it is "long non-coding RNA (NTAB_LNC019060)". Lineage: Eukaryota; Viridiplantae; Streptophyta; Magnoliopsida; Solanales; Solanaceae. The record is from RNAcentral.
CUUGUACCCGAACUACGCGGGUUUGAUUCUCACCGGAUGUGAGAUACGUAGGCAACCCUCAUCGGGUCCAACCCCACCUUUUGCUAAAAUAGCCAAAAAUCAAAAAAUUUAAUCUUGUUAUAAAUAAGUCGGGUGAUGUCCAAACCACCUUUUGCUAAAAUAGCCAAAAAUCAAAAAAAAAUUUAUAAAUAAGUCGGGUGAUGUCCUACCCACCUUUUGCUAAAAAGCCAAAAACAAAUAAAUAAUAAUAAAAGAAUAAUAUGUCAAAUUUUAAUUUUGUCAUAAAGAAGUCGGGUGACGCUGUUUUAUCAAGACAUAGCCGAAUGUUCCCGAAAGGGACGCCGGAAGGCUGACUUUGCGUAAACAACCACCUUUUGGUCAUGUCUAGGAGUUUGGUCCAGUUGACCCACACAGCCUUAAAAAGCUUCGUCCCCGAGACGUCGAAAGGCCGUGUUUGCAACACAAGGUUUUUAUCAUAAUUUGAAAAAAACA